AGGCCUGGUACUGUGGUUCACGCCUAUAAUCCCAGCACUUUGGAGGCUGAGGCGGGUGGAUCACCUGAGGUCAGAAGUUCAAGACCAGCCUGACCAACAUGGUAUACAAUCAUGUUAUUUUCCCACAACGAUAAUUCAGAAGAGACAGUAUUUAAAGGAAAAGCUAUAUUCUUUUUAAAAGGUGAUGAAAACUUUGUGGCUUUGAAGGCUGCAUACUACCCAUCUUGCAUUUUGAUAUUAUUUUGACCUGGACUCAUAUGUGGAUUUCAACUUGAGUGCCAACUCCAGUGACUAGUAAUGGCUGCCUGGAAUUCUGUCCUGAAGAGGAUUUUGAAGAUCAUUAUAUGACCAGUGAGAAUCAGGGCCAUGAAUGAUUAGUCACAUCUGCCAUGUCAAAGGAGUUAGGACUGAUGGUACAUCUGUCAAAUGUUUGCUGUCUCUUAUCUAUUCCAGUCCACUCUUUAUACAAGUGAGUAAAUGACUUGUGUAUUGGUCACACAAUAAAUGACUAAG
Molecule: long non-coding RNA, 513 nt
Organism: Callithrix jacchus (white-tufted-ear marmoset)
Lineage: Eukaryota; Metazoa; Chordata; Mammalia; Primates; Cebidae
Source: RefSeq, a predicted model, not a curated record